Molecule: unclassified non-coding RNA, 260 nt
Filed under: Hevea brasiliensis (rubber tree)
Lineage: Eukaryota; Viridiplantae; Streptophyta; Magnoliopsida; Malpighiales; Euphorbiaceae
Source: RNAcentral
AGUGCUCUUUUGAUACUUGCGAAUCUCACUGAUUGUUCCAUAAUAAUGUAGGGUCUCAUAAUAUAACAAUUUAGCCAAAGAAAAAACGUCAAUUAGAGGGGAAAUGCUUUACCGAAGAGCCACAGUUCCAGGACGAUAACGAUGAGGCUUCUUCACGCCACCAGUGGUGGGAGCAGAUUUCCUAGCGGCCUAUGUGAAAACAAUUUACCAAUUUAGCAUGAAUCAGAAAUUACGAUCUCUGAGUCUCGGACUGUAUACAC